UCCUUAUCGAGAGAGGUGGAGGGACUGGCCCUUUGAAGCCUCGGCAACAACUAUUUUUAGACUGUGCCAAUUCCAGCAAGCGAAAGCUUGAAAGAUAAGAG
RNAcentral lists this non-coding RNA (101 nucleotides) under Fictibacillus phosphorivorans. Its description in RNAcentral is "SAM-I sequence". It matches the Rfam family "SAM riboswitch aptamer (S box leader)". Rfam says of the family: The SAM riboswitch is found upstream of a number of genes which code for proteins involved in methionine or cysteine biosynthesis in Gram-positive bacteria. The SAM riboswitch acts at the level of transcription termination control. The predicted structure consists of a complex stem-loop region followed by a single stem loop terminator region. Lineage: Bacteria; Bacillati; Bacillota; Bacilli; Caryophanales; Fictibacillaceae. The record is from RNAcentral.